Molecule: ribosomal RNA, 520 nt
Filed under: uncultured Glomus
Lineage: Eukaryota; Fungi; Glomeromycota; Glomeromycetes; Glomerales; Glomeraceae
Description: SSU rRNA
Rfam family: Eukaryotic small subunit ribosomal RNA
Source: RNAcentral
AGCAGCCGCGGUAAUUCCAGCUCCAAUAGCGUAUAUUAAAGUUGUUGCAGUUAAAAAGCUCGUAGUUGAAUUUCGGGGUUAGUAGGUUGGUCAUGCCUCUGGUAUGUACUGGUCUCACUGAUUCCUCCUUCCUGAUGAACCUUAAUGCCAUUAAUUUGGUGUUUUGGGGAAUUUGGACUGUUACUUUGAAAAAAUUUAGAGUGUUUAAAGCAAGCUAACGCUUGAAUACAUUAGCAUGGAAUAAUGAAAUAGGACGUUUGACCCUAUUUUGUUGGUUUCUAGGAUCGACGUAAUGAUUAAUAGGGAUAGUUGGGGGCAUUAGUAUUCAAUUGUCAGAGGUGAAAUUCUUGGAUUUAUUGAAGACUAACUACUGCGAAAGCAUUUGCCAAGGAUGUUUUCAUUAAUCAAGAACGAAAGUUAGGGGAUCGAAGACGAUCAGAUACCGUCGUAGUCUUAACCAUAAACUAUGCCGACUAGGGAUCGGAUGAUGUUAAUUUUUUAAUGACUCAUUCGGCGCCUU